UACAGAGGUCUCAAGCGUUGUUCGGAUUCAUUGGGCGUAAAGGGUGCGUAGGUGGCGGUGUAAGUCAGGUGUGAAAUCUCGGGGCUCAACCCCGAAACUGCACUUGAUACUGCCUUGCUCGAGUACCGGAGAGGAGAUUGGAAUUUACGGUGUAGCAGUGAAAUGCGUAGAUAUUGGGAAGAACACCAGUGGCGAAGGCGGUUCUCUGGGACGGUACUGACGCUGAGACGCGAAAGCGUGGGGAGCGAACAGG
This 253-nucleotide ribosomal RNA is filed under the name uncultured bacterium. RNAcentral describes it as "partial 16S ribosomal RNA". It matches the Rfam family "Bacterial small subunit ribosomal RNA", at positions 524 to 776 of the family's 1533-position model. The record is from RNAcentral.